GUUCGUAACGCAUGGUGUCCAUAUGCAUUGAACUUUUUAACACCUCUCUACAAACAUUAAAUAAUUUGUCAAGUUCAAUUUCUGUGUUUAAUUGAUGAGUAUGUGUGAUAAAUUAUUUUUAACAAUAUGCUUCAUGAACAUAACUCAGUUCUUUUUGUAAUUUUAAAAUGAUCUCUGAUUGUAAAAUGUUUGGUGUCUUGACCGUUACGAACAUAAUAGCUUUCAGUAUAAUUGCUAAAAUAACAGCCAAUGAAUCAUAAGUUUGGCUCAGGAAGUCCGUAGCAGUGGUAUAAUUAUAAAUUGAAAACGAAAGUAGAAAGGUUGCGCAGCUGUCUGCAAAAAAACAUGGCAAUGCUCAUUGUGUCCACGUGGAAGACAGAAGUUACGUACAUAAUAGAUGCGAUUUACAAGAAAUGACUGAAUAAUGUUCGUAACAAUGACACAAAGAUCCAAGACUCAAAAUAGAAGACCUAGGAUAUUUAGCAAUCCAUCUGAAAAUUUACUUGUCUGCAUUAAUUCUCUUUGAAAGCUAGUCUAUUAUUAAGCUUUGGAAUGAAAUAUUAAAAGUAUUAAAGACAAG
Molecule: long non-coding RNA, 580 nt
Organism: Saccostrea cuccullata (small rock oyster)
Lineage: Eukaryota; Metazoa; Mollusca; Bivalvia; Ostreida; Ostreidae
Exons: 2
Source: RefSeq, a predicted model, not a curated record